ACACUAAAAUGUUUGAUGCCAGAACGCAUUGGAACGAGCAGAAACGCUUCCCGAGUGCUCGGGAUGUCAUACCAGCAGGGCUUUGAUGUAAACAACAUACAGUCAAAGAAAAGAUCCUUUAUCACCAUCCCAAUGCUCAUGUUAGCAGGCCACACAUCAUCAUCAGCGGGCAGGA
Pipra filicauda (Wire-tailed manakin) is the source of this 175-nucleotide long non-coding RNA. RefSeq lists it as uncharacterized. NCBI's taxonomy places the organism in Eukaryota, Metazoa, Chordata, Aves, Passeriformes, Pipridae. The transcript is spliced from 3 exons. The record is from RefSeq and is a predicted model, not a curated record.